CUUAGAGUUUGAUCCUGGCUCAGGACGAACGCUGGCGGCGUGCUUAACACAUGCAAGUCGAGCGAGACUUCGGUCUAGCGGCGAACGGGUGAGUAACACGUGGGCAACCUGCCCCGAGCUCUGGGAUAACUCCGGGAAACCGGGGCUAAUACCGGAUACGACCCGAGAAGACAUCUUCUCGGGUGGAAAGUUUUUCGGCUCGGGAUGGGCCCGCGGCCUAUCAGCUUGUUGGUGGGGUAACGGCCUACCAAGGCGACGACGGGUAGCCGGCCUGAGAGGGCGACCGGCCACACUGGGACUGAGACACGGCCCAGACUCCUACGGGAGGCAGCAGUGGGGAAUAUUGCGCAAUGGGCGAAAGCCUGACGCAGCGACGCCGCGUGAGGGAUGAAGGCCUUCGGGUUGUAAACCUCUUUCAGCAGGGACGAAGCGAAAGUGCGCC
Molecule: ribosomal RNA, 442 nt
Filed under: uncultured bacterium
Lineage: Bacteria
Description: bacterial SSU rRNA
Rfam family: Bacterial small subunit ribosomal RNA
Source: RNAcentral